RNAcentral lists this ribosomal RNA (505 nucleotides) under uncultured bacterium. Its description in RNAcentral is "bacterial SSU rRNA". It matches the Rfam family "Bacterial small subunit ribosomal RNA", at positions 501 to 1008 of the family's 1533-position model. The record is from RNAcentral.
CUACGUGCCAGCAGCCGCGGUAAUACGGAAGGUCCGGGCGUUAUCCGGAUUUAUUGGGUUUAAAGGGAGCGUAGGCUGGAGAUUAAGUGUGUUGUGAAAUGUAGACGCUCAACGUCUGACUUGCAGCGCAUACUGGUUUCCUUGAGUACGCACAACGUUGGCGGAAUUCGUCGUGUAGCGGUGAAAUGCUUAGAUAUGACGAAGAACUCCGAUUGCGAAGGCAGCUGACGGGAGCGCAACUGACGCUGAAGCUCGAAGGUGCGGGUAUCGAACAGGAUUAGAUACCCUGGUAGUCCGCACAGUAAACGAUGGAUGUCCGCUGUUGGUACCUGGUAUCAGCGGCUAAGCGAAAGCAUUAAGCAUCCCACCUGGGGAGUACGCCGGCAACGGUGAAACUCAAAGGAAUUGACGGGGGCCCGCACAAGCGGAGGAACAUGUGGUUUAAUUCGAUGAUACGCGAGGAACCUUACCCGGGCUUGAAUUGCAGAGGAAGGAUUUAGAGAUA